Long non-coding RNA from Cinclus cinclus, 2043 nucleotides. RefSeq lists it as uncharacterized. The transcript has 3 exons. NCBI's taxonomy places the organism in Eukaryota, Metazoa, Chordata, Aves, Passeriformes, Cinclidae. The record is from RefSeq and is a predicted model, not a curated record.
GGACCGGGAGUCGCUGGCGGGGUCGGGAUAGUCCCUGGCGGGAUCGGGAUCGGGAUCGGGAUCGGGAUCGGGAUCGGGGCUGCGCUCCCAGCACGGUUCGUGGUUCGGCCGCGGCGGGCCCGGACCCGCGGGUUCCGCACGGGAACGUCCGGCUGCGGCUGGGGCGCUGUAUUUACUUGGAGUGCUGCCCUGUUUUAGCUCGAGGUGUGUUACGGGCAUUGAGUCAGUUACUCCAGGACGAGAGGUUUGCUUAAUAUUUCCAGCUCUGCUGGUUUUGCAACCGAGAGGGGCCAGAGUUUGUUGUUUUUAAACUUGGAUUUGGAUAUUACAUAACUCGGGGAGCUGGAGCGCCGAGCACGUGCCCGGGCCUUAAUUCCUUUUGCCCAAGGAUAUGUCAAACUUCUUGGCAACGCUGUGGAUGAGAAGUCCAGAAGAAAACUGCUCCUUGUAAUGAAACGUUCUACUGUGUACAUCUCCUAAUGUCCUGUUUGUCCAUGCCAAAGGGGCACAUUUUGCCUUCUGGAUAUAUAGACUUGUAGACAGAGGAAGCAUGAAGAAAAUAUCACUUUCAUCUUUACAGAAAAUGGUGAGAUAACAAGUACAGGAAAACAGACAGGAAGGCUUGACAAGGGUUAAGCAGCAGCAAUGAAAAGAUCACUGGGAUUACAACUGUGCAGAUGAGCUGCAGAAGGAGAAUUGUUUAGUUGUGAGAAGGCAGAAAUGGAGAAGAGAGCAGGAGUGUGGAGAGGAAGUCGCCUUGAUCACAGGAUUUCCGUCAGAGACACUCUGCACUGGAAGAGCAAGCAUGGGUGGAGCAAGCAGUGAAGAUAAGCUGGUGCUGUGGCACAUCGCUGGCCUACAGAAGUUAGGGAAGAUGCUUCAGACGAGCCUUUUAGUUAUCAGAAAUAUUAUUUCAAGCACUAUAAAGAAAAUAAACAUAAUUAUAUUAACACAUUGUUUUAAGGUCAGGUUUAUGAAAUCCAAGGCUUUAGAAGAAACCUUUAAGAUUCUACUACUGUAGAACAUCUGUUUUUUUGGAGCACAUAAUGUUAUUCUCUCUUAACAUGUGGGGCCACUUUAAAUUUGUGUUUCUGCAUCAUUAAACCAUCGUGGGAAGUGCAGGCGGAGGAAGCCCGGGUAAUUGGCUGCAGCUCCAGAUGCAGCCACUCGCUCAUUGGAGAGAGGAGGAUUCUCCCAGUACUAAAAUUAGACCAUCUCUGCCCUCCAGAAAUGCUUCUGGAAACAGCAAGCAGGAGAAAUUGUGACACAGCCCCAGGCCCCGUGGUGGGCAGGGAUCUGCACAGGGCCCUGCUCUCGGCCAAACUGCAGCCUCGGGAAGGUGCGUUGGGGUUUAUGUCCUGUGUGGCUGGGAGAAAAUGCACACAAUAAAGAAACUGCAACAGAUUCACGUUAACAGUGAAACACAGAUAUUAAAUUCAGCAUUUCUUAUGUAAUAAUAAUUCUGAAGUGUUCAUGCAGGCAGAGGAAGCCUUUGAACUGCUAAAUUUAAGCAAGGGCUGUCAGACUUGUGCUCAUUGACUUUAAAAAGAAAUGACUUGCUGAAUUAACUCUGAACUAAACUGAAAAACUGAUGGGCUCUUUCUAUCAGCACUUCUUAAAAAAUAAAACGUGUUUACCCGUUACCUCUGUGAAGUUGCAGUGUUUACAAUGUCUUCAAAUGAAAUACUGGAUAAGGUAUUUCUGUUAAAGAAACAAAUGCCAUGUGCCCGUGUUGUUGAAGGAGAGUCUGUAUCUGAAUUUGUCUUGUACACUUGGAACCUUUAUUUUUAAGGUGUAUGAAUAACAAUAUCAGUCUUUGCUUUUAAAAUAUAUUUCAAGUUGGCUGCAAGGAAAUAACUGCCUAUUUUCAUUUCUUGCUUCUAUAUUUAUAUUAUUCACAUUAAUCAUGAAAAAGAUUAUUUUUUAGUUUUCUUAGACUAAAACCAGCUUUUGCUGUACUUUUGCUAAUUCCUCAUCUAACCAGGGCACAUUGUGUCAGCACCUCUGGCUCCAAAACCUUGGGGGUUUUUUGUCUUUUCUCCU